This is a long non-coding RNA of Gasterosteus aculeatus aculeatus (three-spined stickleback), 1142 nucleotides long. NCBI's taxonomy places the organism in Eukaryota, Metazoa, Chordata, Actinopteri, Perciformes, Gasterosteidae. The record is from Ensembl.
AUAUAUAUAAUUAUAUUAUUCUACGUUUAUUUCAAUCAAAUUAUGUUAAUUUAUUCAUUUCUACUGUAAAUUAAACUAAAACUAAAAUGUAGUUAUUAUAUUGACAAGCUCAUAUAUACAAUGUAUAAUAAACGAAUAUAUAAAUUUGGAGGAUGUCUUCCAUCACCAGCCGGCAUUCACCCCGGUUUGGUCCUGGGCCGCCUACCUCUCCACCACGGGGACUUUGGCCUUGCUCUUGAUGGCCAGGUACUUCUCCCUGCAGCCCCCACACAGCAGGUAGUACGGGUUCCCGCUGCCGCACUCCCCCCCGAACCAGCCGUCCACGUAGGAGCCGUUGCUGCGGUAACCCUGCCGGUUGGCGCUGCGGCCGCAGCCCGGGUGGCUCUUCUUCAUGUGCUGGUUGAAGUUGGCCACGUUGGCCUCGCACAGCUCGCACACCACCACCUCGUCCCGGUCGUCCGUCUCGCACACGUGCUGCGUGGAGGUACGGCGGCAGAGAGGGUGACACACAUGAAGACAAAAGUACACACACGGGACAGAGUGGACGAGGACAGUGGGGACGCGUCCCAACAUGAAUCGCAGAGAGCUGCGCGGCGUCUCAAGCGACAGGCGACGCAUCGUUCCGUUUUUAGUCGUUCGUUCCAACGAGAGCCGAGCCGAGAAGAAGAGUCGACCCCCUGAACCGCCGUGGUAAUCGUUCAAUGGUUGAUCGUUAGGGGCGGAUGCUCACGUCGGAUAAAGCAGCCAAAAUAAAGGUUACAAUUGAAUUUCCUUCAACAUUUUGUUCUCAUUUAAAUCUGAAAAUCGCAUAUUGUUAAAUAGUGCAAUGUUUGAGAUGUUCAGAGGGUCGGCCCUGAGGAGUGAUGCAGCGCAGGCAGAGAGCGGCCCCUCUGGACAGAGCUUAAAGUCACACACACCCAUGUUGGCCAGUCCAGUACCUCCGGGAUCCACAUUCCCAGAAUGUCGGUGUCGCUGGCCAGGUCCUGGCCGAACAUGGCCUCCAUGGUCUCCUCGUCCAGGUUGAAGUCGUAGAGGGCGCCCGGGUCCUGCUGCUGCUGCUGCUGCUGCUGCUGCUGCUGCAGGGACGCCACCUCCCGCCUCGACUGGCUGUGGUGGGCCUGCACCGAGCGGUACAGCCCGGC